RNAcentral lists this long non-coding RNA (1433 nucleotides) under Marmota monax (woodchuck). The record is from RNAcentral. Lineage: Eukaryota; Metazoa; Chordata; Mammalia; Rodentia; Sciuridae.
GGGGAAUGGAGAACAAUCAAUCACAAGGUUAACGUUUCACUGGGAAGACAGCCUCAGCCCCAAGAGUCCACACAGCACCAGACGCCCUCGGUUAACGGAACCGCUCUGCUCAGAGACGGGCAAGCACCGAACCCUAGUUGGAACCUACCACAUCAACCCGGUACCUGGCGACGCUUAGGUCAAAUCCACCCAGGGCGCAGGCGUCCCCCAACCCCCGCGGCGCUUCUCUACGAGCUCGCCGGGGACAGAACCCACCCACGGCGGACUCCGAAGCCAGUCCCGGGCUCCGCAGGCGACUGGAGAUCCGGCGCGGCGACCUCUGCCCGGACUGGAGCGGGACAGCCCCAGGGUCGCCUCCCGCAAGCUGCAAGCCCCCACGGCCCCCGAAGCCGCAGGUUGCCUCGAGUGCAGGAUGGGGCGCAGGCAGACUGGCCCCCACGCCCGCGGCGCUCACUGACCUGGAGAGGUGCUUCAAGAUCUGUUUCUUGAUGAUCCCAGCCAUGGUGCCCAGGCAGGAGGCGCCGCGCUCUUGCUGAACCUCACAGCCCCCUCACGCCGUGGCCGUCUCCUCUCUGCCCGGGCUAACCCGGCCGGAGGAGAGGCGCUUGAGCGCUCACCCCAGGAGAGACUCGAGGCCCCGGCUGACGCCAACAGCCGCCGCCGCUGCCGCCGCCGAGAACCCCGAGCAUGACGCUCAGGCCGCCGCGGCCGCCGCCGGCGCCAUCUUGGCUGCAGCAUCACCUAAGAGACCGGGGGAGGGUGAGGGUGGCGCGGCAGGCGCGGGCUAGGCGGGCGCGGGGCGGGGCCAACGCGACGUGUGGUGGGGCCAACGCGACGUGUGGUGGGAGGGGAAAGCCUCAGGCCACGCCCCACCGCCUGGACCUGCCGGCGGACUCUGGGCUGCCCUUAUCUUACAGGGUCUUCAGACUCCAACCCCAUUACCUACUUAGACUUUACUCCUUCCUCUGCUCUCUCUGGUCUCUGUGCCUGCCUCCAUCAAUGAGUUGCCCUUCCACAUACUACUUCUGUCUUCAUUUCCUCAGAAAUUGACCCACAAAUUGCUCUACUUGCUUUUUUCUUUUGAGCUACUCGGCUUUGUUCAUAUGCCUCCUCGGGUUUUUGUUUUGUUUUGUUUUUUCUCUUUUGCUAAGAUCUUUCCUUAGCUAAAUACUGCAAUUUAUUAUUUGCCCUGAAUAUGCCAGUCCUAAGAGAAGUAAAAGUUUUCAACGUAGACUCAGGUGAGAAGCCCCAAAUUCAAGUCCCGACUUUGGAAUUUUCUAGUAGUGUUAACCUGGAGAAAAUUAGUUUUGUCCUCACUUUAAUCAUGUCAGAGAUAUGAUAAAUUGUGGUAUAAAGAUGCAUUAAGAAUUGUAAUACAAUAAUAAUAAUAAUAAUUGUAAUAGAGCUCAAAAAAUAAAUAAAGAGAUUAAAAA